UACGAAGGGGGCUAGCGUUGCUCGGAAUUACUGGGCGUAAAGCGCACGUAGGCGGCUUUCUAAGUCGGGGGUGAAAUCCUGGAGCUCAACUCCAGAACUGCCUUCGAUACUGGAGAGCUUGAGUCCGGGAGAGGUGAGUGGAACUGCGAGUGUAGAGGUGAAAUUCGUAGAUAUUCGCAAGAACACCAGUGGCGAAGGCGGCUCACUGGCCCGGUACUGACGCUGAGGUGCGAAAGUGUGGGGAGCAAACAGG
RNAcentral lists this ribosomal RNA (253 nucleotides) under uncultured bacterium. RNAcentral's name for it is "partial 16S ribosomal RNA". It matches the Rfam family "Bacterial small subunit ribosomal RNA", at positions 524 to 776 of the family's 1533-position model. The record is from RNAcentral.